UUUUCGGUUAAAUCUAUGCGCUCAACGUAUAGGCCGCCGAAAAUACUGGGCAGCUAGGGAGUGGGAGAGGUACACGGUACUCAAUAGGAAGGGGUAAAAUCCUUUGAUCUAUUGAUGACCACCUGUGGCGAAGGCGGUGUACCAGAACACGUUCGACGGUGAGGGAUGAAAGCUGGGGGAGCAAACCGGAUUAGAUACCCGGGUAGUCCCAGCUGUAAACGAUGCAGACUCGGUGAUGCAUUGGCUUGUGGCCAAUGCAGUGCCGCAGGGAAGCCGUUAAGUCUGCCGCCUGGGAAGUACGUACGCAAGUAUGAAACUUAAAGGAAUUGGCGGGGGAGCACCACAAGGGGUGAAGCCUGCGGUUCAAUUGGAGUCAACGCCAGAAAUCUUACCUGGGGCGACAGCAGAAUGAAGGUCAAGCUGAAGACUUUACCAGACAAGCUGAGAGGUGGUGCAUGGCCGUCGCCAGCUCGUGCCGUGAGAUGUCCUGUUAAGUCAGGUAACGAGCGAGACCCCUGCGUCUAGUUGCUACCAUUACUCUCUGGAGUAGUGGAGCGAAUUAGACGGACCGCCACAGUUAAUGUGGAGGAAGGAAGGGGCCACGGCAGGUCAGUAUGCCCCGAAACCCUAGGGCUACACGCGGGCUGCAAUGGUAUUGACAAUGUGUUCCGAAUCCGAAAGGAGGAGGCAAUCAUCAAACGAUACCUCAGUUAUGACUGAGGGCUGUAACUCGCCCUCACGAAUAUGGAAUCCCUAGUAACUGCGCGUCACUACCGCGCGGUGAAUACGUCCCUGCUCCUUGCACACACCGCCCGUCGUUUCAUCGAAGUUGGCCUUUAGUGAGGUAGUGUCUUGUUGGCAUUAUCGAGCUUGAGGUCAGUGACGAGGGAAAAGUCGUAACAAGGUA
RNAcentral lists this ribosomal RNA (907 nucleotides) under uncultured archaeon. Its description in RNAcentral is "bacterial SSU rRNA". It matches the Rfam family "Archaeal small subunit ribosomal RNA", at positions 538 to 1445 of the family's 1478-position model. The record is from RNAcentral.